GAUGAACGCUGGCGGCGUGCCUAAUACAUGCAAGUCGAGCGAACAGACGAGGAGCUUGCUCCUCUGACGUUAGCGGCGGACGGGUGAGUAACACGUGGAUAACCUACCUAUAAGACUGGGAUAACUUCGGGAAACCGGAGCUAAUACCGGAUAAUAUAUUGAACCGCAUGGUUCAAUAGUGAAAGACGGUUUUGCUGUCACUUAUAGAUGGAUCCGCGCCGCAUUAGCUAGUUGGUAAGGUAACGGCUUACCAAGGCAACGAUGCGUAGCCGACCUGAGAGGGUGAUCGGCCACACUGGAACUGAGACACGGUCCAGACUCCUACGGGAGGCAGCAGUAGGGAAUCUUCCGCAAAGGGCGAAAGCCUGACGGAGCAACGCCGCGUGAGUGGUGAAGGUCUUCGGAUCGUAAAACUCUGUUAUUAGGGAAGAACAAAUGUGUAAGUAACUAUGCACGUCUUGACGGUACCUAAUCAGAAAGCCACGGCUAACUACGUG
Molecule: ribosomal RNA, 497 nt
Filed under: uncultured bacterium
Lineage: Bacteria
Description: partial 16S ribosomal RNA
Rfam family: Bacterial small subunit ribosomal RNA
Source: RNAcentral